RNAcentral lists this ribosomal RNA (44 nucleotides) under Verticillium dahliae. RNAcentral's name for it is "partial 28S ribosomal RNA". The record is from RNAcentral. Lineage: Eukaryota; Fungi; Ascomycota; Sordariomycetes; Glomerellales; Plectosphaerellaceae.
UAGGAAUACCCGCUGAACUUAAGCAUAUCAUAGGGGGGAAGGAA